CCUAGUAGAUUCCUAUCCUUAUCCCCUCCCUUUGUCUUUUUAGUGGUGGUUUUUUGUGGUUGUUUAAAGUGAAAACUAAAGUCUAAAGGUCCUUUUAUUAUUUUAUUAUAAGUUCUAAUAAGUCUUAUUCCUGUGAGCGAUUUGAAUACUUGAAUUCAAAAGUAACAUAUUUGAGUUUUGAAGUGAAAAUAAAACUCAAUUUUAGGACUUUUCUAAAAGUUUGUAAUCCGCUUUUUAUCUUUUCAUUGCAUUGAUAUUGAUAUAGAAUUGUAGAAUGUAGAAUUGAUAUAGAUAUAGAUAUAUAUCCCACGACCUAAUCAAAUGAGUAUCUAUCUUGGGAAUGG
Molecule: unclassified non-coding RNA, 344 nt
Filed under: Cuscuta epithymum
Lineage: Eukaryota; Viridiplantae; Streptophyta; Magnoliopsida; Solanales; Convolvulaceae
Description: trnL-trnF intergenic spacer
Source: RNAcentral